AGUACUGGAAACGGCUGGCCUUGCCUGGUGAGUGCUGCUUUCCCAGGUCACUGACUGAUGGGCCAGGGGCUGAGUUUUCCCUGCCAGGGUCUAGCCCAGGGCCCCACGUGGCUCCCAGCCCCUUCGUCCCACAGGGCUCAUUCCAAAUAGAUGGCGUGCACCAAUGCCACGCAGAAGACCAUGGGGUUCAUGUAGCGGGAGGUGGCAAAGCUGUCUGCGUGCAGGUCCCACAAGCAACCGCUGGAGACCACCACGCCGUCCUGCCCCUUGCUCCCAAUGCUGACAGAGCACACUGGCCUGUAGCGUGUGCCACCUUGACCAGCUCCCAAAUCGGCAUUCAGCACGGUGGGGCCAGAUGGCAGGCCACACCGGCCGGCUUGGAGGGCAGGUGAGCCUGCAUCAGCUCCUGCGCCCGGACCCAGGGGAACUUCAGCUCCGGCCUGGCUGCCCACAAGGGGACGUGGGGGGAGGAGAAGAGAGGGGUGAUGGAGGGGAGUGUUUGCAACAAGGAACACAGAAUGGGAGCUUGAAGCCUAAGAAGUUGAACACAGACCCCUGAACCAGACGAAUGGCGUGGACAAUGGAACUCGGAACCUGGGACGACUCUGUGGUGCUGUGCCUCCAAGGGGCUCAGCCUGUAAUAGGUGUCCGGAGGCCCAUGGCCUGGGAUCCCCUCCCGCUCUCAGCAUCCCUCCAGCCUCUGACCCACACCUGCUCCUGGAUGAUACUGAUGGGCCGGUGGUGCUUUGGCCGCAGCUGCAACUGUGUUCUCAGAGAUGCUGAUUCCGGGAACGUCGGGAGGAGCAUGGAGGGGGCCUCCCUCUCGAGCUGGCAGCAAAGGGCUCCCUGGGGACCUGGAGACCAAAGGAUGGGCAGGAGGCAACACGUGGUCCCAGAUGGCUGUCCGAGUUCCUCAGAGGUCAAUAAAAGUCAUCCUCACUCCUGGGCACCGAGCCAGGACCGGCUGGACCUUCCCCAGCAUCAUCUCAUCAAAUCUUCACUGCAAACGGCGGGCACCACGCUGCUCUCAUGGUCCAGGAGGCUGGGCCUCAGAGGGGCCCCACAGCCGAGCAGUGAGAGCCAGGAUUCAGACCUUGUCUGUCAAACCGGAGCCCAGACUCCUCUGUGUUUACCUCAGAUGCCCCGGGCCUGGCGCAGGCUCUGCACAGAGCAGGAGCAUAGGAAGUGA
This 1189-nucleotide long non-coding RNA is filed under the name Sus scrofa (pig). RNAcentral's name for it is "lncRNA (ENSSSCG00005033829.1)". The record is from RNAcentral. Lineage: Eukaryota; Metazoa; Chordata; Mammalia; Artiodactyla; Suidae.